AAGAGAGACAGAGAGAGAGUGAGAUAGAAAUAGAAAGAGAGUGAGAGAGGAACAGAGACAGAGGGAGAGCUAGUGCAGACCGCCUGGUUAGAGGGUUAAGGCUGUAGCCUGUUUUACCCAUGAGGCCUGAAAGGAGAUAUCACAAAAUCCCCUCUAAAAGGCUUCUAGGCUGGAUUUGCGGUGCUGAGAGAGUGUGUCAGGGGCGGAGAUAAGCAGAUGUGAGGCACCGUGGUGAGGAAUCUUUCUGCUGUGAAUGAAGUGAGUCACUGAUAGACUCUUCACAAGAUGUCAAUACCAGAAGACACUAGAACACCCGACAUCAUGUGACUUUAGUAUUUCCUGUUCCAGCCAACCCCCAGUUGGAUACUUGAGUCUGAAGAUGGAAACUAUUGUGAUGCAAAAUAGAUAAUUAAGAAUGGUGAGGAAUAAAGCCCACAUUUCAAGUAAA
Gadus morhua (Atlantic cod) is the source of this 448-nucleotide long non-coding RNA. RefSeq lists it as uncharacterized. The record is from RefSeq and is a predicted model, not a curated record. The transcript is spliced from 2 exons. NCBI's taxonomy places the organism in Eukaryota, Metazoa, Chordata, Actinopteri, Gadiformes, Gadidae.